AACGAACGCUGGCGGCAGGCCUAACACAUGCAAGUCGAACGCCGUAGCAAUACGGAGUGGCAGACGGGUGAGUAACGCGUGGGAACAUACCCCUCGGUUCGGAAUAACUCAGGGAAACUUGAGCUAAUACCGGAUACGUCCAAGGUUUUAAUCGACCUUGGAGAAAGAUUUAUCGCCGGAGGAUUGGCCCGCGUCUGAUUUAGUCUUGUUGGUGAGGUAAUGGCUCACCAAGGCGACGACAGUAGCUGGUCUGAGAGGAUGAUCAGCCACAUUGGGACUGAGACACGG
Molecule: ribosomal RNA, 288 nt
Filed under: uncultured bacterium
Lineage: Bacteria
Description: partial 16S ribosomal RNA
Rfam family: Bacterial small subunit ribosomal RNA
Source: RNAcentral